GUGUAGGGCCGGCCGGGCGCUCAGGAGCGCGCGGGGCAGCGGCGGCGCGGCGGAGCCAUCCGCGCUCGUGCCCGCGCGGGUGCGUUGCUGUCCUGGCCGCGCCCCUGUCCCGCCGCCUCCCGCUCCUCGCCUGGCGGAUGUAGGUUGUUGGCCUGAGGGGAGCUACGUAGCCGAGGUUUGCGCUGCCGCCGCCAGGCCCGGUCCGGUUCCAGCCUCUGCCCGGACGCUAGCCGGCCUGGCCAUGGCUGACCGCGGGUGCCCGCUGGAGGCGGCGCCGCUGCCUGCCGAGGUGCGGGAGAGCCUGGCUGAGCUGGAGCUGGAGCUGUCGGAAGGUGACAUCACUCAAAAAGGAUAUGAAAAGAAAAGGGCAAAGCUGCUUGCACGUUAUAUACCGCUUAUUCAAGGAAUAGACCCAUCUCUGCAAGCAGAGAAUAGAAUUCCUGGGCCCUCACAAACCACGGCCGCUGCACCCAAGCAGCAGAAGUCUCGGCCCACCGCCUCGAGGGAUGAGCGCUUCCGGUCAGAUGUCCACACUGAAGCCGUGCAAGCAGCUUUGGCCAAAUACAAAGAGAGGAAGAUGCCUAUGCCUUCGAAGAGACGUUCUGUCCUUGUGCAUUCGUCUGUGGAAACCUACACCCCUCCAGACACGUCGUCUGCCUCAGAAGAUGAGGGCUCUUUACGGCGACCCGGGCGACUCACCUCCACUCCGCUCCAGAGCCAUUCCAGCGUCGAGCCCUGGCUCGACCGGGUCAUUCAGGGCUCGUCCACCUCAUCCUCUGCAUCCUCCACCUCAUCUCACCCGGGAGGGAGACCCACCACUGCUCCCAGUGCUGCAGCCACGCCGGGGGCCGCCGCUACCACUGCACUCGCAGGCCUCGAGGCCCACACCCACAUAGGUGUCCCUGUGAACAGCAGAGUGUCCUCCAAAAUCCAGCAGCUUCUGAACACCCUGAAGAGGCCAAAGCGCCCUCCACUGAAGGAGUUCUUUGUGGAUGAUUUUGAGGAAUUGUUGGAAGUUCAGCAACCAGAUCCAAAUCAGCCAAAGCCUGAGGGAAGCGAGACGAGUGUGCUGAGAGGGGAGCCUCUCACUGCAGGUGUCCCCCGACCGCCGUCGCUGUUGGCCACCUUGCAGCGCUGGGGCACAACACAGCCCAAAUCCCCCUGUCUGACUGCCUUGGAUACAACUGGGAAAGCCGUCUACACUCUCACCUAUGGUAAACUUUGGAGUCGGAGUUUAAAACUAGCUUAUACUCUACUUAAUAAACUGACAAGUAAGAAUGAACCUCUACUUAAACCUGGAGACAGAGUGGCGCUCGUGUUUCCGAAUAGUGACCCUGUGAUGUUCAUGGUUGCAUUUUAUGGGUGUCUCCUGGCAGAGCUGGUUCCUGUCCCCAUAGAAGUGCCAUUAACAAGAAAGGAUGCAGGCAGCCAGCAGGUUGGGUUUCUGCUGGGCAGCUGUGGAGUCUUCUUGGCCCUGACCACAGACGCUUGUCAGAAAGGCCUCCCCAAGGCACAGACAGGAGAGGUGGCAGCUUUCAAAGGUUGGCCCCCGCUCUCCUGGCUAGUGAUUGAUGGGAAGCAUCUAGCCAAGCCCCCAAAGGACUGGCACCCUCUGGCCCAGGACACAGGGACUGGGACUGCCUACAUUGAGUAUAAAACCAGCAAAGAAGGCAGUACGGUGGGGGUCACAGUGUCCCACGCAUCCCUGCUGGCACAGUGCCGGGCUCUGACCCAGGCGUGCGGGUACUCAGAAGCUGAAACAUUAACAAACGUGCUGGAUUUCAAAAGGGAUGCUGGUCUGUGGCAUGGCGUGUUAACAAGCGUCAUGAACAGGAUGCACGUGGUCAGCGUCCCCUACGCGCUGAUGAAGGCGAACCCACUCUCCUGGAUCCAGAAAGUGUGCUUCUAUAAAGCUCGGGCCGCGCUGGUGAAGUCGCGAGACAUGCACUGGUCUCUCCUAGCUCAGCGGGGCCAGAGGGACGUCAGCCUCAGCUCACUGCGCAUGCUGAUUGUGGCCGAUGGUGCCAACCCGUGGUCGAUCUCCUCCUGUGACGCCUUCCUCAACGUCUUCCAGUCCAGAGGUCUGAGGCCAGAGGUCAUCUGUCCUUGUGCAAGUUCUCCUGAGGCGCUGACUGUCGCCAUCCGCAGGCCACCUGAUCUGGGAGGACCACCUCCAAGAAAAGCAGUCCUGUCGAUGAACGGUCUAAGUUAUGGUGUUAUCAGAGUGGAUACUGAAGAAAAGUUGUCAGUCCUUACUGUUCAGGACGUUGGUCAGGUGAUGCCUGGAGCUAAUGUAUGUGUUGUGAAGUUAGAAGGUACCCCUUAUCUUUGUAAAACUGAUGAAGUGGGAGAAAUAUGCGUCAGUUCCAGUGCAACUGGCACAGCGUACUAUGGAUUGCUUGGAAUCACGAAGAAUGUGUUUGAGGCAGUUCCGGUCACCACAGGAGGAGCACCCAUCUUUGACAGGCCAUUCACCAGGACAGGCCUGCUGGGCUUCAUCGGGCCUGACAACCUGGUCUUCAUCGUGGGCAAACUGGACGGGCUGAUGGUCACUGGAGUUCGCAGACACAAUGCAGAUGACGUUGUGGCCACCGCACUGGCCGUGGAGCCCAUGAAGUUUGUCUACAGAGGCAGGAUCGCUGUGUUCUCUGUGACCGUGCUGCACGACGACCGGAUUGUCCUGGUGGCUGAGCAGCGGCCGGAUGCCUCGGAGGAGGACAGCUUCCAGUGGAUGAGCCGUGUGCUGCAGGCCAUUGAUAGCAUCCACCAGGUGGGCGUGUACUGUCUGGCCCUGGUUCCUGCCAACACCUUGCCCAAGGCUCCUCUCGGAGGGAUUCACAUUUCUGAAACCAAACAGCGCUUUCUGGAAGGGACGCUGCACCCGUGUAAUGUGCUGAUGUGCCCUCACACCUGUGUUACCAACCUCCCCAAACCUCGUCAGAAACAACCAGAGGUUGGACCAGCCUCAAUGAUCGUGGGGAACCUGGUUGCUGGGAAGAGAAUCGCUCAGGCUUCCGGGAGAGAGCUCGCCCACCUGGAGGACAGCGACCAGGCACGGAAGUUCCUGUUCCUGGCUGACGUGCUGCAGUGGCGUGCCCACACCACUCCUGACCACCCGCUGUUCUUGCUGCUGAACGCCAAGGGCACCGUCACAAGCACUGCAACCUGUGUCCAGCUGCACAAAAGGGCUGAGAGAGUGGCCGCGGCUCUGAUGGAGAAGGGAAGACUGAGUGUUGGGGACCAUGUGGCUCUGGUCUACCCACCAGGGGUGGACCUCAUUGCCGCGUUCUAUGGCUGCUUGUACUGUGGCUGCGUGCCUGUCACCGUGCGGCCCCCGCACCCUCAGAACCUCGGCACCACACUGCCCACCGUCAAGAUGAUCGUGGAGGUCAGCAAGUCUGCAUGCGUCCUCACCACGCAGGCUGUCACACGGCUGCUCAGGUCCAAGGAGGCUGCUGCUGCCGUGGACAUCAGGACCUGGCCCACCAUCCUAGACACAGAUGACAUCCCAAAAAAGAAGAUAGCAAGCGUUUUCAGGCCCCCCUCCCCCGAUGUCCUCGCAUACUUGGACUUCAGCGUGUCAACCACUGGGAUAUUAGCGGGAGUGAAGAUGUCGCACGCGGCCACAAGCGCCUUAUGCCGCUCCAUAAAGCUGCAGUGUGAGCUGUACCCCUCGCGGCAGAUCGCCAUCUGCCUCGACCCCUACUGUGGCCUUGGUUUUGCCCUGUGGUGUCUGUGCAGUGUCUACUCGGGACACCAAUCAGUGCUGGUGCCCCCGCUGGAGCUGGAGAGCAACGUGUCCCUGUGGCUGUCGGCCGUCAGCCAGUACAAGGCCCGCGUCACCUUCUGCUCCUACUCUGUGAUGGAGAUGUGCACCAAGGGCCUAGGCGCACAGACGGGUGUCCUCAGGAUGAAGGGGGUGAACCUGUCAUGUGUGCGCACGUGCAUGGUGGUCGCCGAGGAGCGGCCCAGGAUUGCGCUGACCCAGUCCUUCUCCAAGCUCUUCAAGGACCUGGGCCUGCCGGCCCGCGCCGUAAGCACCACGUUCGGGUGCAGGGUCAACGUGGCCAUCUGCCUCCAGGGCACAGCUGGCCCGGACCCCACAACCGUCUACGUGGACAUGCGGGCACUGCGCCAUGACAGGGUUCGUUUGGUAGAACGGGGUUCUCCGCACAGCCUGCCAUUGAUGGAGUCUGGAAAGAUCCUCCCCGGCGUGAAGGUCAUCAUCGCACACACCGAGACCAAAGGACCCUUGGGAGACUCACACCUGGGAGAGAUCUGGGUAAGCAGCCCCCACAAUGCCACCGGGUACUACACCGUUUACGGGGAGGAGGCGCUUCAUGCCGACCACUUCAGUGCCCGGCUGAGUUUUGGAGACACACAGACCAUCUGGGCAAGGACCGGCUACCUUGGCUUCCUUCGGCGAACAGAGCUCACUGAUGCCAGUGGAGGGCGGCACGAUGCACUGUAUGUGGUUGGGUCUCUGGAUGAAACUCUGGAGCUCAGAGGCAUGCGGUACCACCCCAUCGACAUUGAGACCUCUGUCAUCCGAGCACACAGGAGCAUCGCUGAGUGUGCCGUAUUCACCUGGACCAACCUGCUGGUGGUGGUGGUGGAGCUGGAUGGGCUAGAGCAGGAUGCCCUGGACCUGGUGGCCCUGGUGACCAACGUGGUGCUGGAGGAGCACUACCUGGUCGUGGGAGUGGUGGUCAUCGUGGACCCAGGGGUGAUCCCUAUCAACUCUCGGGGUGAGAAGCAGCGCAUGCACCUGCGGGACGGCUUCCUGGCUGACCAGCUGGACCCCAUCUAUGUCGCCUACAACAUGUGAGCGCAGCACACCGGCCCAGGUGCCGGAGAUGAAUGAGCCCCAGCAGUCCAAGGUGUGAUGUGGGAAGACACCGCAGAGCUCACUCACCGGGACUCGCCCUUCCUGUGCUCUUACAGAUCCCUCUCAACAAUCCCCGCAUCUCCUUUUAGAAAGCACUUCCUGAAUUAUUUAAAGAAAUAUUUUGAAUCUGCCAAGUACAUUUACAAAAACACGGAUGCUGGUAUUUUAACAGAUGGAGAGACAAGGAAAGGAAAGGAAAGGCCUGGCAUGGGCAUUGUGAGGAAUCACAGGCACCGAGGUUGUUCUCUGCUGUACUGCAAGUUUGCACUUUCUUUAGGCUAAAAAUAUAGUUCCUGAUUUUUAAAAUUCAGUUAUUUAUUCCCACUUCAAAUGACAAGUUCAUAUAUAGAAUUUACGGGAGAAACUUGAGACCAUUUACGGGGAGAAACUUGAUUCUGGGAAGAUAGCAGAGUACAAACCAGCUGCCUCACUUCUGUUUCACAGGGAGGCUGAUGGAAAAAGGAAGCAAGCUGGACCCAUCCUCCCUGCUCACAGAGGGCACUGUGGUCACACACAGUGCCUCCUCUGCCAGUUCCUUUAUUGAAAGAGGUGUGCUGGCUGGCCACGGUGGCUUACACCUGUAAUCCCAGCACUUUGGGAGGCCGAGGCGAGCAGAUCACGAGAUUAUGAAUAUAGCUGAUUUAUUUCAAAGUGGUUCUACUGGAAUGAUCAGCAUAAACCAAUGGGGAGUACAUGGCAGAGAAAUAACUAACCUCCAGUAUUUGCCUGGUUCCUGCCACAGUGCUGGCCUUCAUGUUGGCAGUUCCAGAAGUGGGGUUGAGGGAGAGAGAGAAUACUUGAAGAAAUAAUGGCUGAAGACUUCCUAAAUUUGAUGAAAGACCUGAAUAUAAGCAUCCAAGUAGCUCAACAAAUUCCAAGUAAGAUGAACUCAAAGAGACCACACAGAUACCAACAUUUCAGAAGCCAAAGCCAGAGAAUUUUGAAAGCAACAAGGGAGAAGCAACUUGCUACAUACAAAGGAUCCUCAGUAACAGGUCCCCAAGCCCUGGGCCACAGACUGUUAACAGUCUGUUAGGUACCAGACCACACAGCAAGAGCUAGGCCCCUCUUCUGUAGGGUUGCUGCAGUUUGCUGGGGGUCUACUCCAGACCCUAUUCACCUGGAUCCCUCCUGCACCUGGAAGUGUCACCAGUGGAGGCUGUAGAACACCAAAGAUGGCUGCCUGAUCCUUCCUCUGGGAGCUCAAUCUCAGAGGGACACCAACCUGAUGCUGGUGGGAACGCUCCCGUAUAAGAUUCCUGACAACCCAUGUUGGGGGAUCUCACCCAGUCAGGAGGCUUGGGAUCCGAGGCCUGCUUAAAGAAGCAGUCUGGCUGCCCCUUGGUGGAGUGGGUGCACUGCACUGGAGGGACUCCUCUUUGUCCAAACUGCCCAGCCUCUUCAGAACCAGCAGGCAGGAAAGAUUAUGUCUACUGAGUUGUGGAGAUCACAGCUGCCCAUCCCCCUAAGGACUCCAUUCCAGGGAGAUCAGAGUUCUGUUUGUAAACCUCUGGCUGGAGUUGCUGAAAUUCCCACAGGGAGGCCCUGCCCAUUGACGGGGAAUGGAUCUGGGUCCCACCUAAAGCAGCAGUCUAGCCAUGAUCUGCCACAGCCACUGUGCUGUGCUGUGGGAAAUUCCUCCUGGUUCAAACUACCCAGUCUUCCCCGCACCAGCAGAGGAAAACGGCAGACUGGAGCUGCAGUGAUGGUGGCCGCCCCUCCCCCUAGGUACUCAGUUGUCUUAGGCAGUCUCUAGCCAGCUGCCACUAGCUGCAACCUGAGCAUCUGGACAGCUCUGUACUUGGGACCCAAGGCUCUGGUGGUUUGGGCUCAUGAGGGGAUUUCCUGAUCUGUGAGUUGCACAGAUCUGUGGAAAAAACAUGGUUUUCCAGGCAGGUAGCACAAUCAGUCACUGCCUCCCUUGGCUGGGGAUGGGAGCUCCUCUUGCCCCAUGGUGCUCCUGAGUGGUCCAUCGCUCCACCCUGCUUUUCCCGACUCUCCAUGGGUUGUGCCAACCACCUAGUCAGUCUCAAUGAGAGAACCUGGGUACCUCAGCUGAAGGUGCAGGAUUCACUCACCAUUUUCAUUCUUCUCAGUGGGAGCCACCAAUGGCAGCUGCUUCUAGUAGGCCAUCUUUCCACUUUGCUGGUAAUUUUUUUAACAACCAAGUGAAUAUGCCAAAUGGUAACUUGGAUCCACAGAAAAAGCAAAGAGAACCAGUAAAGGUAAAGAUAAUUAUAUAAUGGUAAGACUAUAAAUGCAUUUUUCCUUAACAUGAAUGAAUUAAACAGUUUAUUAAAAAGGCAGAGAUUGUCAGAAAACCUGUGUAAAAACAAGCAAACAAACAAAAACAAAAAAUAAGACCCAACUAUAUGCUGUCCACAGGAGAUACACCUUUUAUUCAAAGAUACAAAUAGACUGACAGUAAAAGGAUGAGAAAAGGUACAUCAUUCAAACAGCAGCCACAAGAAAGCUGGAGUGGCUAUACUAAUCUCAUACAAAAUAGACAUAACAAAAAAUUCCUAGAGACAUUUUAUAACUAUAGAAGGGUCAAUCUAUCAGGAAAAGCUAACAAUUACAAAUAUGUAUGCACCCAACAACAAAACACUACAAUACACAAAGCACACAACUGACAGAAAUAAGAGUUGGAGACUUCAAUGUCUCACUUUCUAUAAUGAAUAACCAAGCAGAAAAUCAACUAGGAAAUAAAAGAUAUAACAUUAUAAACAACUAGACCUAACAAACAUCUAUAAAACACUCCACACAACAAGAAAGUAUACAUUCUUCUCAACUGCACAUAGAACAUUCUCUAGAACACACCACCAUAUGCUAGGCUAUAAAGCAAACCUCUCUAAAUUUAAAAGGAUAUAAUACAUAAAUUAUGUUCUCCUACACAAUAGAAUGAAAUUAGGAAUUGAUAUAGUUUGAAUUUUUGUUCACUCCAAAACUCAUACUAAAAGUUAAUUCCCAUUUUGAAGGUGUCGGGAGGUGGGAACUUUAAGAGGUGUUUGGGUCAUGAGGGUUAUGUGCUCAUUAAUGGGUUAAUGCCAUUAUCACAGAAAUGUGUUCAUUAUCACAGGAGGAGUACUGUUAUAAAAGGGCAGGUCUGGCCUCCCCUUGCUCUCUCUUGCCUUUCCACCUCCCACCAUGGGAUGAUGCAGCACAAGGGUCCUGCCAGAUGCUGCCCCCUCAUUCUUCGAUUUCCCAGCCUCCAGAGCUGUGCUAAAUAAAUUUCUGUUCAUUAUUAAA
This is an RNA transcript of Homo sapiens (human), 8137 nucleotides long. It is a transcript of the gene named DIP2 acetate--CoA ligase A, with no coding region annotated. The transcript has 39 exons. Lineage: Eukaryota; Metazoa; Chordata; Mammalia; Primates; Hominidae. The record is from RefSeq and is marked reviewed.